RNAcentral lists this ribosomal RNA (402 nucleotides) under Orius niger. Its description in RNAcentral is "partial 16S ribosomal RNA". Lineage: Eukaryota; Metazoa; Arthropoda; Insecta; Hemiptera; Anthocoridae. The record is from RNAcentral.
GCCGCAGUAUACUAACUGUGCAAAGGUAGCAUAAUCAUUUGUUAUUUAAUUGAUAACUGGUAUGAAUGGUUUUAUAAAAAAUAUUCUUUUUUUAUUUUUUAUUUAAAAUUUUAUUUUAAAGUCAAAAAGCUUUAAUUUUUUUAUUAGACGAUAAGACCCUUUAGAACUUUAAUAUUAAUAAUAAAUACAUUUUUAGUUUUAUAAAUUUAUAUAUUUAUAUAUAUUUUUGUUGGGGUGACAGUUAAAUUUAAUUAACUUUAACUUUUUUAAUUUCAUUUAUUUUUGAUUUUUUUGAUCCAAUUUUAUUUGAUUAUAAGAUUAAGUUACCUUAGGGAUAACAGCGUAAUUUUAUUGGAGAGUUCUUAUUAAUAAUAAAGUUUGCGACCUCGAUGUUGGAUUAAA